RNAcentral lists this long non-coding RNA (2712 nucleotides) under Arabidopsis lyrata. Its description in RNAcentral is "long non-coding RNA (ALYR_LNC002591)". Lineage: Eukaryota; Viridiplantae; Streptophyta; Magnoliopsida; Brassicales; Brassicaceae. The record is from RNAcentral.
AGUAGAACUAGUGCAACAGCUUUGACUAGACACUUUCACUGUUCCACAGCCUCCGGAUUGAGCACUCUCCACAUUGACCAACUUUGAAGACCCUUCUUGUGUCAAACCAGUUCCACAACAAUGUGAUUUGCAAUCACCACCACCUUCAGUUUCCAAGCCUGAAACCACCAAGCUAACAGGCUUCUCACCACAGAUUUUUGUCACUUCUUCUUUGUCCAUACAACAUCCCGAGGAACAAUCCGUGCUGUCUGUCUCUUCCUCUGAAGCUAGAGUGAUUUCCGCUGUUUGCUUUUCAUCGUUGCAGCAACCAGACUUGCAAUGUCCUUCAUUCUUUAUCUCCAGAUCACAUUGCUCCUCCACUUCCCCUUCUGUGUUUCCACAACAAACCAACUUGAGAUCAUCACAACAUACACCAGUUUCCAUGUCCAAACCUUCCUUCUCCACCAACACAGCAUGCUUCUUCUCAUGGGAGCUUUGUUUCACUAUCCCCUCAUUCACACAACAUCCCGAGGAGCAAUCUUGAUCGUCUGUCUCUUCCUCAGAAGCAAGAGUUAUUUCCCCGGUUUGUUUUUCAUCACUGCAGCAACGAGACUCGCAGUGUCCUUCAAUCUUUAUCUCCAGAUCAGUUUGUUCUCCAACUUCCCCUUCUGUCUUCCCACAACAAACCAACUUGAGAUCACAACUUACACCAGUUUCCAUGUCCAAACCUGCCUUCUCAUGGCACCUUUGUGUCACUGUCCCCUUGUUCUCGCAGCCAGACUUGCAGUUUCCUUCAUCUUUAAUCAGCACUCCUUUCUCCGGGUAAGAUUUGUCCUCACUAGCAAGCAACAAACCUAUUUCCUUAACCUUCUCCUCUUUAUUGUCACAACAGCUUGUUUUGCAGGGUUCCUUUCUCUGCAACUCUAUUUCCAAACCAGUUAAUGCCUGACCAAUAAUCUGCACCGGGACAACAAUUUCCUCAGCAUGCUUCUUCUCCUCGCAAUGGCUAGAUUUGCAGUCUCCAGCACUCUCCAUUUGCUGUUUUGAUUUCUCACAACAGCUCUUUGCCACUACUUCCUCUACCUUCUCACUUUUGUUAGCACAACAACCUGAACCACCUUUCAUUUUCAAGUCAUGUUUGACAUGACUAGACUUCUUACAUGAGCUCAAUGAAAUAAUGUCUCCCACUGCUUUCCUAGUUUCCUCACCGCAACAACCAUCUCUCACAAGCGGCUUCACUUUGUCUUGCUUCUUAUCGCCAUAACAACCAGGGUGAGAAUGAUCAGAACUGGUUUUACUACUUGGUUUCAUCAUCACAACCUUCUCUUGAUUUUUCUUAUCUCCACAACAGCUUGAGUUACAUUGACCAUUCCCGCUCUUUUUUAACAAGCCUGCUUCUAAGUCCACAACAUCAUCAUCAUCGCCUUCGAGUUUCCUACCAUUCAACAUAGAUGUAGAAGCCCUGUAACACUUUUUGUUCCCAAUCUUUUUCUUCUCUCGCAGCAGCAACAUACUAUUGAGAAUCACAAGAAGACAAGUCCCUACAUCAACAAGAACAGCUGCCCAAAUCAAAGGAUGACCAGCAAACGCCAAAGCAAGUAUUCCAGCUUUUAAAACGAUUGAAAGAAACACGUUUUCAACAACUUUGCGCCGAGCUCUUCUCGCUAGCUUUACCGCUUGUGGUAUCCUUCUUAUGUCAUUAGACAUUAGAAUAAUAUGACCAGUCUGCGUAGCAAGCGCCGAGCCAGAGAUUCCCAUGGAGAUACCAAUAUCAGCUGUAGCUAAAGCUGGUGCAUCAUUCACACCGUCCCCUACCAUUGCGGUUGGUCCUUCUUUCUUAAACUCUUGUAUGAUUUUGGAUUUAUCUUCAGGAAGAAGUUCUCCAUGUACAACAUCUAAAACAUUCCCUAGCUGUUUCAUAAAACAUGUCAAGGUAUUAUUAAAUAACCUCUUGGCUUUAGAAAGUGAUUAAAAUUAUGGUUUUUAGUCUCACCUGUUCUUGAGCAUGCAUUGCCGCGGCUUGACUAUCUCCCGUUAGCAUUGCGGUUUUGAUGCCUAGAGAUUUCAGUUCCGUCAUUGCUUGAGAUACACCGGAUCUACAAGCAUCAGAAAGAUUGAAAACUCCCGCUAGUCUUUCACCUACAUAGACGUAUCCAACAGUCUUCCCACCUUUGGUAUCAAUUUCAGUCUCUGGAACUGUCAAGAAAGAACAGUCAAGUGAUCAGACUAAAGAAUAACAAAACCUCAAAAAACUACAUUGAGGUUUUUUUAUUACAAGUACCGGUUGAACAACCAGCUCGAGAAGCAAUCCUUUUGUUCCCGAUGUAGAUAUCGUUCCCAUCAAUCUUCCCAUAGAUUCCUUCACCUGGAAAAUUCUGGUAAUCUUCAACCUCUUCAGGCCUAGGCUCAACAGAAACGGAUUUCGCGUAGUCCACGAUUGUUGCAGCCAUUGGAUGACUUGAUUUGCUUUCAACACUUGAUACCCUGAAACAUUAUAUAAUAAGAAAGUUUCAGUCAUAAGUUAUUUCAGCAAACUUGUUUUAGUCAGAACACAAGUUUAGUUUUACCAGUAAAGCAAGCUGCGUAGGCUUAUAUCUCUAGAGAGUGACUUGAAAUCUAUGACAAUGAACUCUCCUCUUGUAAUAGUCCCGGUUUUGUCGAAAGCAGCGAUCUUGAUCUUUGAGAGAGUGUCCAGAUAAUCAGCACUUUUGAUCAGAAGCCCGGAAGUUGCUG